RNAcentral lists this ribosomal RNA (691 nucleotides) under Erysiphe azaleae. RNAcentral's name for it is "eukaryotic LSU rRNA". It matches the Rfam family "Eukaryotic large subunit ribosomal RNA", at positions 1 to 703 of the family's 3401-position model. Lineage: Eukaryota; Fungi; Ascomycota; Leotiomycetes; Helotiales; Erysiphaceae. The record is from RNAcentral.
UUGACCUCGAAUCAGGUAGGAAUACCCGCUGAACUUAAGCAUAUCAAUAAGCGGAGGAAAAGAAACCAACCGGGAUUACCUCAGUAACGGCGAGUGAAGCGGUAACAGCUCAAAUUUGAAAUCUGGCUCCUUCGGAGUCCGAGUUGUAAUUUGUAGAAGAUGCUUUGGGUGUCGAGUUCGGCCUAAGUUCCUUGGAACAGGACGUCAUAGAGGGUGAGAAUCCCGUAUGUGGCCGAGGCCCGCGCCUAUGUAAAGCUCUUUCAACGAGUCGAGUUGUUUGGGAAUGCAGCUCAAAAUGGGUGGUAAAUUUCAUCUAAAGCUAAAUAUGGGCCAGAGACCGAUAGCGCACAAGUAGAGUGAUCGAAAGAUGAAAAGCACUUUGGAAAGAGAGUUAAACAGUACGUGAAAUUGUUGAAAGGGAAGCGCUUGCAACCAGACUUGGGCGCUGCCGAUCACCCCGAGUUCUCUCAGGUGCACUCGACAGCGCACAGGCCAGCAUCGGUUCGGGUGGCUGGAUAAAGGCCGUAGGAACGUGGCUCCCUUCGAGGAGUGUUAUAGCCUACGGUGCCAUGCAGCCCAGCCGGACCGAGGAUCGCGCCUUCGGGCUAGGAUGCUGGCGUAAUGGUUGUAAGCGACCCGUCUUGAAACACGGACCAAGGAGUCUAACAUCUAUGCGAGUGUUUGGGUGGUA